RNAcentral lists this ribosomal RNA (406 nucleotides) under uncultured bacterium. RNAcentral describes it as "bacterial SSU rRNA". It matches the Rfam family "Bacterial small subunit ribosomal RNA", at positions 354 to 777 of the family's 1533-position model. The record is from RNAcentral.
GUGGGGAAUAUUGGACAAUGGGCGCAAGCCUGAUCCAGCCAUGCCGCGUGAGUGAUGAAGGCCUUAGGGUUGUAAAGCUCUUUUAUCCGGGACGAUAAUGACGGUACCGGAGGAAUAAGCCCCGGCUAACUUCGUGCCAGCAGCCGCGGUAAUACGAAGGGGGCUAGCGUUGCUCGGAAUCACUGGGCGUAAAGGGCGCGUAGGCGGCGUUUUAAGUCGGGGGUGAAAGCCUGUGGCUCAACCACAGAAUGGCCUUCGAUACUGGGACGCUUGAGUAUGGUAGAGGUUGGUGGAACUGCGAGUGUAGAGGUGAAAUUCGUAGAUAUUCGCAAGAACACCGGUGGCGAAGGCGGCCAACUGGACCAUCACUGACGCUGAGGCGCGAAAGCGUGGGGAGCAAACAGGA